This is an RNA transcript of Olea europaea var. sylvestris, 1481 nucleotides long. It is a transcript of the gene named GATA transcription factor 24-like, with no coding region annotated. NCBI's taxonomy places the organism in Eukaryota, Viridiplantae, Streptophyta, Magnoliopsida, Lamiales, Oleaceae. The transcript is spliced from 9 exons. The record is from RefSeq and is a predicted model, not a curated record.
UACGUGACAUGGACUGACAAAAUCGUCGAGCAGACCACCAUGAACAGCAACAACAACGUACAACAACUGGAGCAUCAGGGUACAACUUACAUCGACGAAGAGGAAGACGAGGACGUUCAGUGCACUGAUGGAAAAUCCAUUGACAAUCCUCCAUCUGAGAUCCUUUACGAUGGUCCGAACAACCCUCACUCUCCACACGCGCUUCAAACUGAUGGUGGUGGUGGUGUCAUGGAUGGGGUAGACGCUGUUGCACUCUAUGACGCUGGAAGCUCUGAUAUGACUCCUGCGGUUGCACCGGUUAGCGGGGAGAGUGGCGCUGAUCAGCUUACACUGUCGUUUCAGGGAGAAGUCUAUGUUUUCGAUUCCGUUUCCCCUGAGAAGGUUCAGGCAGUGUUAUUACUGUUGGGUGGAUAUGAAGUACCCACUGGCAUUCCUACUGCUGGGAUGGCUCCUCAAAACCAGAGGGGUUUGGGUGAGUAUCCUGGAAGAUUAAGUCAGCCACAAAGAGCUGCUUCUUUAAACCGGUUCAGGGAAAAGAGAAAAGAGCGAUGUUUUGAUAAAAAGAUUCGUUAUACUGUGCGCAAGGAAGUUGCUCUCAGGAUGCAGCGUAAGAAAGGUCAGUUUACAUCGUCCAAGUUGCUUUCUGAUGAACCGGGUCCAUCACCUGCAGAUUGGAGUGGAAGUUCUGGUCUAGAAGGACACGAAACUUUAUGUAGGCAUUGUGGAACAAGCUCAAAGUCAACCCCUAUGAUGCGUCGUGGACCACAUGGACCGAGGACAUUGUGCAAUGCUUGCGGUCUCAAGUGGGCCAACAAGGGAGUCUUAAGAGACCUUUCUAAAGUUCCAGUUGGAGCCCAACAUCAUACUCCGAAGGCUAGUGAACUUAGCAAUGGUGGAGAUAACAUGACACCUGCUGCUAAGCCCGUGACAACUUAUAAUGGUGACAAUUUGGCCUUGACUGCUGAACAGUAGUCGUUGCGGAGUUUGAAGGCUGGCAGGGACUGUCAAGAGUGGUGAAAUAUGGGGAAUUGGGUUGCUUAUGGAGGCAAGCUGCUGGAGGCCCCUUGGUUCUUGAGGCAGCAAACAUGUCAACUGAUUGAUGAUGAUGGGCUCCGGUGCUUUGAUCUUGAAUUCUGAUGCAGUGAUCGAGGCUGAUGAAGGGUGGCCUGGAGCGGCGAUCAGAGAUUAAUCGAGUUAGGUGUUGGCUGCUUGUGCUUGAUGGUGAAACUCUUGCACUUCGAAUUGGCUUAUGCUUUGCUAAGCUGAUGGACUUUGGGUUGGUAUUGCGGAAUGCGACGUGCCAUUGGGCCCUCUUUGCUCUAAUUUUGCUUGAUGCCGUAUUUUUAGUGCAAGAAAAAUGCUCAAGAGACGGUGAUAAUUUUUCUCUGAUUGCAUAUAACAGGGUUGAAUAUUUGCAAUUUUCAUUAGGUGUGAUAUUAAUAAAUGAAAGUUCGCCUAUUUUUUCAAUAAACAUUAAAUUU